AACGAACGCUGGCGGCAGGCCUAACACAUGCAAGUCGAGCGAGGACUUCGGUUCUAGCGGCGGACGGGUGAGUAACGCGUGGGAAUGUGCCCUUCUCUACGGAAUAGCCCUGGGAAACUGGGAGUAAUACCGUAUACGCCCUAUUGGGGAAAGAUUUAUCGGAGAAGGAUCAGCCCGCGUUGGAUUAGGUAGUUGGUGGGGUAAUGGCCUACCAAGCCGACGAUCCAUAGCUGGUUUGAGAGGAUGAUCAACAACACUGGGACUGAGACACGGCCCAGAAUCCUACGGGAGGGAGCAGUGGGGAAUCUUAGACAAGGGGGGCAACACUGAUCAAGCCAUGCCGGGUGAGUGAUGAAGGCCUUAGGGUUGUAAAGCUCUUUCAGCUGGGAAGAUAAUGACGGUACCAGCAGAAGAAGCCCCGGCUAACUCCGUG
RNAcentral lists this ribosomal RNA (433 nucleotides) under uncultured bacterium. RNAcentral's name for it is "partial 16S ribosomal RNA". It matches the Rfam family "Bacterial small subunit ribosomal RNA", at positions 29 to 507 of the family's 1533-position model. The record is from RNAcentral.